GACGAACGCUGGCGGCGUGCUUAACACAUGCAAGUCGAACGGUAAGGCCCUUCGGGGUACACGAGUGGCGAACGGGAGAGUAACACGUGGGUGAUCUGCCCUGCACUUCGGGAUAAGCCUGGGAAACUAGGUCUAAUACCGGAGAGGACCACUGCCUGCAUGGGUGGUGGUGGACAGCUUUUGCGGUGUGGGAUGGGCCCGCGUCCUAUCAGCUUGUUGGUGGGGUGAUGGCCUACCAAGGCGACGACGGGUAGCCGGCCUGAGAGGGUGACCGGCCACACUGGGACUGAGAUACGGCCCAGACUCCUACGGGAGGCAGCAGUGGGGAAUAUUGCACAAUGGGCGCAAGCCUGAUGCAGCGACGCCGCGUGAGGGAUGACGGCCUUCGGGUUGUAAACCUCUUUCAGCACCGACGAAGCGCAAGUGACGGUAGGUGCAGAAGAAGGACCGGCCAACUACGUGCCAGCAGCCGCAGUAA
RNAcentral lists this ribosomal RNA (478 nucleotides) under uncultured bacterium. RNAcentral describes it as "partial 16S ribosomal RNA". It matches the Rfam family "Bacterial small subunit ribosomal RNA", at positions 28 to 523 of the family's 1533-position model. The record is from RNAcentral.